RNAcentral lists this long non-coding RNA (337 nucleotides) under Homo sapiens (human). RNAcentral describes it as "non-protein coding lnc-DHFR-5:1". Lineage: Eukaryota; Metazoa; Chordata; Mammalia; Primates; Hominidae. The record is from RNAcentral.
GAGGAGGAACAACAACAACGGUUGUGCCAAAAAGGGCCAUAGCUAGGUACAACCUAUUUGCUGCACAAACUGUGUUGGAUGCACACCUAAGGACAAGGCUAUUUAGAAGUUUGUCAUUUGAAAUAUAGUAGAAGGUACAGCUGUCAGGGACAUUUCCAAAUUGAGUGUCGUUGAUGUCUCUGUGCUUCCCAAACAGUGUAUGAAACUGUAUUACUGCACAAGUUCUGCCGCUCACAGCAAGGUAGUCAGGAAUCAUUCUCAUGAAGCCUAGAGGACCAAACAACUCUGCUCCAAUUUAGAUCUGAGGAUGCUGCCCCAUGAUCUCCAUCAAAGCCUG